This 699-nucleotide ribosomal RNA is filed under the name Pseudobaorangia lakhanpalii. Its description in RNAcentral is "eukaryotic LSU rRNA". The stretch from base 234 to 388 matches the Rfam family "5.8S ribosomal RNA". The record is from RNAcentral. Lineage: Eukaryota; Fungi; Basidiomycota; Agaricomycetes; Boletales; Boletaceae.
ACAGGUUUCCGUAGGGAACCUGCGGAAGGAUCAUUAUCGAAUUUCGAGGGGAAGACGGUGGAGGUGGAGACUGUCGCUGGCUUUCGGGCAUGUGCACGUCUUCGCCUUCUUUCGUCGACCUUUCAUACACACACACCUUGUGCACCUGUUGUAGGUCCUCGAAAGAGGAUCUAUGUUUUUUUUGAACAUCACACCCAUCGUAUGUCUAUAGAAUGUAUUGAAAUAAAUCAUACAACUUUCAGCAACGGAUCUCUUGGCUCUCGCAUCGAUGAAGAACGCAGCGAAUUGCGAUAAGUAAUGUGAAUUGCAGAUUUUCAGUGAAUCAUCGAAUCUUUGAACGCACCUUGCGCUCCUUGGUAUUCCGAGGAGCAUGCCUGUUUGAGUGUCAAUGAAUUCUCAACCAUGUCUCGCCUGUCGAGCCCAUGGCUUGGAUGUUGGGGGUUGCUGGCGGCGAAAUGGCUGUCGGCUCUCCUGAAAUGCAUUAGCAAAGGGCGGGCAAGUCUUUGACGUGCACGGCCUUCGACGUGAUAAUGAUCGUCGUGGGCUGGAGCGUCUGGCAUGCAUGAAUCGUCCUGUGCUUCCAAUUCCGAGUGUCGCUUAGCUACUAGUUGGCCGGUGANGCUGACGAACGUGCGGCGCCUUCCGUUUCGAAACUUGACCUCAAAUCAGGUAGGACUACCCGCUGAACUUAAGCAACAA